This is a long non-coding RNA of Sabethes cyaneus, 1725 nucleotides long. RefSeq lists it as uncharacterized. The transcript has 3 exons. Lineage: Eukaryota; Metazoa; Arthropoda; Insecta; Diptera; Culicidae. The record is from RefSeq and is a predicted model, not a curated record.
UAUAUGGCAUUACGGAAAGAGCAGUAGUGGAUAAAAAUUUAAACGGCUUGUAAAACAGUGAUUUCUAGAAGACCAGAAGUAAUCGGCAGCUGUUCACUAAAGUGAUUAGUAAUCUACAGCCUAACACAGUGAUCGAAAAUAGACACCGGUUGUUCGAGUCUAAACCCUAGACCAAUUGUUCAAGCGCAAUUCCCGCUGUUGCCGUGGCUGUUGCUAACCUGCAAAGAGAGAAAGAAGAUUAAUAUUUAAAGCAAAUCGCGAUCUUUACCAGGAUAAGGAAAGGGCAAGAAAAGCAAAAGAGAUAGCGAAGGAAGGAACGAUAGUGGAAAAAAGGAUUAUAGUGUGUACGAAGAUUAGAAAGGAAACUACUUAUUUUUGAGCUGCAUAAAACAAAUUGCUGCUACAGAAAAUAGUUACCAGUUCUAUCCGAACAGGAGGAAUGGAUGGAAGAAGUGGUUUGUCCCAUCUACAAAAAAGGUGAUCGGUUAUUACGCUGGUAAAUGCCGCCUACAAGGUACUCUCCCAGAUCCUGUUACGCUGGUUGUCACCGAUAGCACAAGGUUUCGUAGGGAAUUAUCAGGCGGGUUUCAUGGGGGCUCGCGCUACUACGGACCAAAUUUUUACUAUCCGACAGAUCUUGCAGAAAUGUCGGGAAUACAACGUGCCCACGCAUCACAUCUUUAUUGAUUCCAAAGCAGCAUACGAUACAGUCGAUCAAGACAAGCUCUGGCAGAUAAUGCACGUACACGGUUUUCCGGACAAACUGACGCGACUGCUCAGAGCUACAUUGGAUCGAGUGAUGUGUUUCGUACGUAUCUCUGGGACACUCUCGAGUCCCUUGGAGACGCGGUGAGGGUUGAGACAAGGUGACGGUUUAUCCUGUAUGCUGUUCAACAUCGCUCUUGAGGGGGUAAUCCGACGAGCGGGCAGCGAAACGAGAGGCACGAUUUUUACCAAGGGUAGCCAACUUCUUGGCUUUGCAGAGUUUGGCGACGAGUGGCCCAAAACCGAGUUGAAUGGAGACGAGUGCUUGAAACAGCACGAGCCAUCCCGGCUCUAUGCUGAAGGAGUCCCGCAGCUGGCAAAUCCGUACAAAUCUUGUCUUUGACAAUAAAAUCAUACGAUCAAGUCUCGUCUGGAAGUCAGGCUUUAAGGUAACAUGUAGUGAACGUGCAUCACAAAUCUGCGGAUAUAAUUAGUUGAAAAAACCCAACGGGUGCAAUGCAAUGGGUUGAACAUUUAGCGAGAAUGCCAGAUGAACAACCAGCAGACUAUAGUAUUCCAAAAGUUGUAGUGUAUUUUGGAAAUGAAGGACAAAGAGUUACAACAUUUCAUGAAUCAUGACGCCGCUUGGAGCUUUCUGUCGUACAUUUGAUAAAAAUUUGAAUACAGUAUGGUUGCCGCCCCAUGCUUCAGUAGAUCUGCUGUUUACAGAUUUCAAGGCAGCGUUUGAUUCAGUUAAGCGAAUUGGCAAUACAGGUAACUUGCUCUAUUCAGAGAAUUCUUCCGAAUAAUGUACAAUUUGCAGUCUCUAUUGUUUGUCGAUUAGACUAUUAGUUUUUCUACUCAACCCAUUAGUCAGUUCUCAACUACCCUCAGAACAGUAAGCAAUCUGUAGAUUGCCAUUUCAAAAUUAUUAUUUUUGGAAUUGCAAAAUUGAACGGCAAGUGAUAUUAAAUUAGCAUCCGUACAUCCGAUGGAUUGUUGAAACUUUAAUACGAUACC